CAAUAGCGUAUAUUAAAGUUGUUGCAGUUAAAAAGCUCGUAGUUGGACUUCUGAUGUGGGACUGCGCCCCGGUAUUUUGCCGUUGGGUGCGGGCUCGCGUCUUCCUCUCGUAGUUGGAUGGUGCACUUAACUGGGUGCCUUCUGAAUAUGGGACCUUUACUUUGAAAAAUUAGAGUGUUCAAAGCAGGCAAUCGCUUGAAUACAUUAGCAUGGAAUAAUAGAAUAGGACUUUGGUUCUAUUUUGUUGGUUCUAGACCGAAGUAAUGAUAAUAGGACGAGUUGGGGGUCGGAUUAGUAUUUAAUUUAGUUCAGAGGUGGAAAUUACUUUGGUAGUUUAUUGAAAGAACUAACUAACUGCGAAAGACAUUUGUCCAA
RNAcentral lists this ribosomal RNA (375 nucleotides) under uncultured eukaryote. RNAcentral's name for it is "bacterial SSU rRNA". It matches the Rfam family "Eukaryotic small subunit ribosomal RNA", at positions 592 to 962 of the family's 1831-position model. The record is from RNAcentral.